UACGUAGGGUGCGAGCGUUAAUCGGAAUUACUGGGCGUAAAGCGUGCGCAGGCGGUUCGUUGUGUCGGUGGUGAAAUCCCCGGGCUUAACCUGGGAAUGGCCAUGGAAACUGGCGAACUGGAGUGUGGCAGAGGGGGGUGGAAUUCCGCGUGUAGCAGUGAAAUGCGUAGAGAUGCGGAGGAACACCGAUGGCGAAGGCAGCCCCCUGGGUCAAGACUGACGCUCAUGCACGAAAGCGUGGGGAGCAAACAGG
Molecule: ribosomal RNA, 253 nt
Filed under: uncultured bacterium
Lineage: Bacteria
Description: partial 16S ribosomal RNA
Rfam family: Bacterial small subunit ribosomal RNA
Source: RNAcentral